CAGCACCUCAAGUGGUCAGGAUGAUUAUUGGGCCUAAAGCAUCCGUAGCCGGCGCUGUAAGUUUUCGGUUAAAUCUGUACGCUCAACGUACAGGCUGCCGGGAAUACUGCAGCGCUAGGGAGUGGGAGAGGUAGACGGUACUCGGUAGGAAGGGGUAAAAUCCUUUGAUCUAUUGAUGACCACCUGUGGCGAAGGCGGUCUACCAGAACACGUUCGACGGUGAGGGAUGAAAGCUGGGGGAGCAAACCGGAUUAGAUACCCGAGUAGUCC
Molecule: ribosomal RNA, 270 nt
Filed under: uncultured archaeon
Lineage: Archaea
Description: partial 16S ribosomal RNA
Rfam family: Archaeal small subunit ribosomal RNA
Source: RNAcentral